UCAGAGGCGAUGAAAGACGUGAUAGCCUGCGAAAAGCUCCGGGGAGGCGGCAAAUAUCCUUUGAUCCGGAGAUGUCUGAAUGGGGGAACCCACCUACUUUAAGGUAGGUAUUGCAACAUGAAUACAUAGUGUUGCAAGGCGAACGAGGGGAAGUGAAACAUCUCAGUACCCUUAGGAAAAGAAAUCAAUUGAGAUUCCCUCAGUAGCGGCGAGCGAACGGGGAUCAGCCCAUUAAGUUAUGUGUGUUUUAGUGGAACGCUCUGGGAAGUGCGAACGUAGAGGGUGAUAUUCCCGUACACGAAAGGGCACACAUAAUGAUGACGAGUAGGGCGAGGCACGUGAAACCUUGUCUGAAUAUGGGGGGACCAUCCUCCAAGGCUAAAUACUCCUGACUGACCGAUAGUGAACCAGUACCGUGAGGGAAAGGCGAAAAGAACCCCUGUGAGGGGAGUGAAAUAGAUCCUGAAACCGCAUGCAUACAAGCAGUGGGAGCACCUUCGUGGUGUGACUGCGUACCUUUUGUAUAAUGGGUCAGCGACUUAUAUUCAGUAGCGAGGUUAACCGUAUAGGGGAGCCGUAGAGAAAUCGAGUCUUAAUAGGGCGUUUAGUUGCUGGGUAUAGACCCGAAACCAGGCGAUCUAUCCAUGAGCAGGUUGAAGGUUGGGUAACACUAACUGGAGGACCGAACCCACUGUCGUUGAAAAGCCAGGGGAUGACUUGUGGAUAGGGGUGAAAGGCUAAUCAAGCCUGGUGAUAGCUGGUUCUCCCCGAAAGCUAUUUAGGUAGCGCCUCGGACGAAUACCAUAGGGGGUAGAGCACUGUUUCGGCUAGGGGGUCAUCCCGACUUACCAAACCGAUGCAAACUCCGAAUACCUAUGAGUACUAUCCGGGAGACAGACUGCGGGUGCUAACGUCCGUAGUCAAGAGGAAAACAAUCCAGACCGCCAGCUAAGGCCCCAAAAUCAUAGUUAAGUGGGAAACGAUGUGGGAAGGCAUAGACAGCUAGGAGGUUGGCUUAGAAGCAGCCACCCUUUAAAGAAAGCGUAAUAGCUCACUAGUCGAGUCGGCCUGCGCGGAAGAUGUAACGGGGCUAAAACUAUGUGCCGAAGCUGCGGAUGUAUACUUUGUAUACGUGGUAGGGGAGCGUUCUGUAAGCCGAUGAAGGUGUGUUGAGAAGCAUGCUGGAGGUAUCAGAAGUGCGAAUGCUGACGUGAGUAACGACAAAACGGGUGAAAAACCCGUUCGCCGAAAGACCAAGGGUUCCAGUCCAACGUUAAUCGGGGCUGGGUGAGUCGACCCCUAAGGCGAGGCCGAAAGGCGUAGUCGAUGGGAAAAUGGUUAAUAUUCCAUUACUUCUGUGUAAUGCGAUGAGAGGACGGAGAAGGCUAAAUCAGCCUGGCGUUGGUUGUCCAGGUGAAAGGAUGUAGGCAUGUAUCUUAGGCAAAUCCGGGGUACUCUAUGCUGAGAUCUGAUAGCAAGCUGUACUUGUACAGCGAAGUGGUUGAUGCCAUGCUUCCAGGAAAAGUCUCUAAGCUUCAGUUACACAGGAAUCGUACCCGAAACCGACACAGGUGGUCAGGUCGAGUAGACCAAGGCGCUUGAGAGAACUCUGCUGAAGGAACUAGGCAAAAUGGUACCGUAACUUCGGGAGAAGGUACGCUGUUGUUGGUGAUGGAACUCGCUUCCUGAGCUGACGACAGCCGCAGAAACCAGGCCGCUGCAACUGUUUAUUAAAAACAUAGCACUCUGCAAACACGAAAGUGGACGUAUAGGGUGUGAUGCCUGCCCGGUGCUGGAAGGUUAAUUGAUGGGGUUAGCGUAAGCGAAGCUCUUGAUCGAAGCCCCAGUAAACGGCGGCCGUAACUAUAACGGUCCUAAGGUAGCGAAAUUCCUUGUCGGGUAAGUUCCGACCUGCACGAAUGGCAUAAUGAUGGCGGCGCUGUCUCCAGCAGAGGCUCAGUGAAAUCGAAAUCGCUGUGAAGAUGCAGUGUACCCGCGGCUAGACGGAAAGACCCCGUGAACCUUUACUGCAGCUUGACACUGAACUUUGACCUUACUUGUGUAGGAUAGGUGGGAGGCUUUGAAGCUGGAACGCUAGUUCCAGUGGAGCCGUCCUUGAAAUACCACCCUGGUAAUGUUGAGGUUCUAACUCUGUCCCGUGAUCCGGGACGAGGACCGUGUCUGGUGGGUAGUUUGACUGGGGCGGUCUCCUCCUAAAGAGUAACGGAGGAGUACGAAGGUGCGCUCAGCGUGGUCGGAAAUCACGCGUAGAGUAUAAAGGCAAAAGCGCGCUUAACUGCGAGACCCACAAGUCGAGCAGGUACGAAAGUAGGUCUUAGUGAUCCGGUGGUUCUGUAUGGAAGGGCCAUCGCUCAACGGAUAAAAGGUACUCUGGGGAUAACAGGCUGAUACCGCCCAAGAGUUCAUAUCGACGGCGGUGUUUGGCACCUCGAUGUCGGCUCAUCUCAUCCUGGGGCUGAAGCAGGUCCCAAGGGUAUGGCUGUUCGCCAUUUAAAGAGGUACGCGAGCUGGGUUUAGAACGUCGUGAGACAGUUCGGUCCCUAUCUACCGUGGGCGCUGGAAAUUUGAGAGGAUCUGCUCCUAGUACGAGAGGACCAGAGUGGACGAACCUCUGGUGUACCGGUUGUGACGCCAGUCGCAUCGCCGGGUAGCUAUGUUCGGAAGGGAUAACCGCUGAAAGCAUCUAAGCGGGAAGCCUACCUCAAGAUAAGAUUUCCCUAGGACUUUAUGUCCUCUAAAGAGCCGUUCGAGACUAGGACGUUGAUAGGUUGGAUGUGGAAGCAUAGUGAUAUGUGAAGCUGACCAAUACUAAUUGCUCGUGAGGCUUGACUAU
RNAcentral lists this ribosomal RNA (2854 nucleotides) under Acinetobacter baumannii. Its description in RNAcentral is "partial 23S ribosomal RNA". It matches the Rfam family "Bacterial large subunit ribosomal RNA". Lineage: Bacteria; Pseudomonadati; Pseudomonadota; Gammaproteobacteria; Moraxellales; Moraxellaceae. The record is from RNAcentral.